GCAUUACCAUUUUCCCCUGACCGCAUCAAGAGCGCAGAGUUGAUGGGUACAGGCCCAACAAAUGUGCUCCCGAUAGGCUGACUUAAAGGCAGCCUGUAAGCCUCAUUGCUUUGACCUCAGCUUGGGAAGUGAGAGCAGAAACAAUACGGUCCCGCAAUAGCCAUGAGAGUAUCACUGAUUAUAAUUCUCUAAUAGUUCUAAGUACAGUUAUAUAAUUGAGGCAUAAUCAAAAUCUGAUUUUUUGAGUGGAAUUUGUGGCAUCAACCUAUAAAAUUUAUCAAUUUUCA
RNAcentral lists this unclassified non-coding RNA (287 nucleotides) under Hevea brasiliensis (rubber tree). Lineage: Eukaryota; Viridiplantae; Streptophyta; Magnoliopsida; Malpighiales; Euphorbiaceae. The record is from RNAcentral.